Molecule: ribosomal RNA, 429 nt
Filed under: uncultured bacterium
Lineage: Bacteria
Description: bacterial SSU rRNA
Rfam family: Bacterial small subunit ribosomal RNA
Source: RNAcentral
UGGGGAAUUUUGGACAAUGGGGGGAACCCUGAUCCAGCCAUUCCGCGUGAGUGAAGAAGGCCUUCGGGUUGUAAAGCUCUUUCGGCAGGAACGAAAAGGCUCUUCCUAAUACGGAGGGUUCAUGACGGUACCUGGAGAAGAAGCACCGGCUAACUACGUGCCAGCAGCCGCGGUAAUACGUAGGGUGCGAGCGUUAAUCGGAAUUAUUGGGCGUAAAGCGUGCGCAGGCGGCUACAUAAGACAGAUGUGAAAUCCCCGGGCUCAACCUGGGAACUGCGUUUGUGACUGUGUGGCUUGAGUGUAGCAGAGGGGGGUGGAAUUCCACGUGUAGCAGUGAAAUGCGUAGAUAUGUGGAGGAACAUCGAUGGCGAAGGCAGCCCCCUGGGUUAACACUGACGCUCAGGCACGAAAGCGUGGGGAGCAAACAGG